Molecule: long non-coding RNA, 736 nt
Organism: Episyrphus balteatus (marmalade hoverfly)
Lineage: Eukaryota; Metazoa; Arthropoda; Insecta; Diptera; Syrphidae
Exons: 3
Source: RefSeq, a predicted model, not a curated record
UUAAUUAAUUUUUAUUCUAGUAAUGUAAAAAAAAAAAACAAUUUCAAUUUCCCGUCAGAUUCGAACCUAGGCAGGUAAAGUUACCAGACAUUCACCUUAUCCUCUAGGCUAUCUCCACUUUUUGAAAAAGGUAAACUUUUAUCUAUAUGUUUAAGCGGUUUAGGAUUUGAUUUUGGGUUGCUGGAUUUGCUUUUGGAUUGUUGGAUUUGCUUUUGGAUUGUUGGAUUUGCUUUUUUAAUUCAACGCACGAUACUACCCAAGUAACAAUUUUACUUGCAUAAGGUCCAUUUUAUUCGAUUCGGCAAGCUAUAGUUUGUAUACGUUGAGUUUAAGGCUUACUUAUGCAAAUCAUCCAUUUUGGAAAAAAAAGGAGGUCUCCUUGAGGCUAUCUAGAAGAGUUAAGAAGAAGCCUUGUAAAUAUCAGUUAAAGAAGACCUUUAUAAGACCUGUUUGAAUCGUUCUUGUAUUUUCAAGUGACAGAAGGCCUCUAUAAGACCUGUUCCAAGAGGUGCUUAUAUGCAAUGUUUGUAACGCAUUAGAAAAAAACAUUGCAUUUUAUUGUGAGGUUUCAAUUAGCUCCCUUUCAUAUUCGAGCAUGGUCUACUGGUGAGGUGCUGGCUUGGUAUGCAGAGGUACGUGGGAUCGAUUCCUGUCCGGGGCAUAACAACAGAAAAAGCGAUGGAAUUUCCAAAAAAGGAAAAGAAACAAAAUAGGAACAAAUUAAAAUAAAUAAAAU